GUGAGUUUAAUCAGGCUGUUUAUCCCUUCAAAGUGAGCGUUUCGCUUGGAGUAAAUAGGAGAGCUCAGUGGGCUCAGCCAUGCAGGGCUCAUCCCAGGGACCUUCUGCUAACGGUGCAGAGGGAGCGGUGGGGGAGAGAGGUACAGACAGGGGUUUGGGUUAAGGUUUGGGUUGGUUUGGGUUUGGGUUGGUUUGGGUUUGGGUUAAGGUUUGGGUUGGUUUGGGUUUGAGUUGGUUUGGGUUUGGGUUGGUUUGGGUUUGGGUUGGUUUGGGUUUGGGUUUGGGUUUGGGUUUGGGUUUGGGUAUGGAUUUGAGUUUGGGUUUGGGUUGGUUUGGGUUUGGGUUGGGUUUGGGUUUCAGUUUGGGUUUGGGUUGGUUUGGGUUUGAGUUCAUGUUUGGGUUUGAGUUGUGGUUUGAGUUUACUUUGAGUUUGGGUUAGGCUUUGGGUUUGGGUUUGAGUUUGGCUUUGGGUUUGGCCGUGGCUUAAGGUUUGUGUUUGUGUUUGGCUUAGGGUUUGGCUUAGAAUUUGGGUUUGGGUUUGGCUUGGGGUAAGAGUUAGGGUGAGAGACAGGAUGUGGCCUUAUGAUGGCUGGGGGUGGGUAGGAGGACUCUGGGGAGGCAAUCGGUCCGCCUGCCUUCCCCCCUCACUCUGUGCCCUGUGCUGAUGGAGUCAAGGUGCAGCGCUUAAACUGCUGAUGCUGGCGCUUGCACAGGACCUUGUGUAUGAGCUGCACUGUUGUUUUGUUGCAGACGUGUGUGAAAAAUUACCCUGCUGAAGCUACACUAAUGGCAGCCCGCAGUGUGUAUACCUGCAAGCACAGAAUGCAAAGUCUGACCCUGCCAGGUCGGGAUACAGCGCAGCUCUCUCCCACUAUUGAGAGCCUGAACAGCAGCAGCGUCAGUGAACCCCGUUUAUAUGCUGGGACUUUAUGGUGUUGGUACUGUGAAAGGAAACAAAAGUGCUCCUUUAGCCCUAAAGGGCUGAGGAUGGGGCUGUGGGCACCCACGGCCCAUAACCUCCUCCUCUGCGUCUCUUUAGACUUCAUGCCAUUUGCACUCUACAGACCAUUAACGCGAAGGCGUUGAUCAAACCUCUGUGACUAACUGGAAAUUGAGGUCUUAUUCCUCCCUUCCCUCCAGUAAGAGCCGCAGUCACUUCAGCUGACCUGAGAAACCAACACCGACAAACACCUCUCAAACCCAUUCUACCCUCACCCAACCUAUGGCUCUCCACAUCUCCACGUGAGAGCUCUGUGUCAGAGAAACACAUCAGGGGCACAAUUAAAAGGGAGAGCAGUUU
This 1300-nucleotide long non-coding RNA is filed under the name Gallus gallus (chicken). Its description in RNAcentral is "lncRNA (ENSGALG00010028796.1)". Lineage: Eukaryota; Metazoa; Chordata; Aves; Galliformes; Phasianidae. The record is from RNAcentral.